Molecule: ribosomal RNA, 327 nt
Filed under: uncultured bacterium
Lineage: Bacteria
Description: bacterial SSU rRNA
Rfam family: Bacterial small subunit ribosomal RNA
Source: RNAcentral
AACUACCGCAAUAAGCGCGACGGUAUCGCAUGAUACAGUGUAGAAAACUCCGGUGGUAUAAGAUGGACCCGCGUCUGAUUAGCUAGUUGGUGAGGUAACGGCCCACCAAGGCGACGAUCAGUAGCCGGCCUGAGAGGGUGAACGGCCACAUUGGGACUGAGACACGGCCCAAACUCCUACGGGAGGCAGCAGUGGGGAAUAUUGCACGAUGGGGGAAACCCUGAUGCAGCGACGCCGCGUGAGUGAUGAAGUAUUUCGGUAUGUAAAACUCUAUCAGCAGGGAAGAUAAUGACGGUACCUGACUAAGAAGCACCGGCUAAAUACGUG